CCGAUAAUCUGCUUCUGCUCUGUUUCGCGUCGGGCUUCCAAUAUACUUUUGCACCGACAACCACUGCCUCCCCUUUCGAAAGGCUGGCCUUGGAGCAUCCGAGGUUGUCGUGAAGGACAAAGAACAUCUGUGGGCACCGGGAAGCCCACAGGGAGAAAAUGGAGGGUGAUUUUAAAACACGCCUUGGAUGUCAGCAGGGUUAGGGAGCGAGCACAGCCGUUUGCAUCUUAGGCUGUAACCAUGCUGUGACUCGGGAGCUAAAUCCGGUCGACCCACACUCAAGAGAAAUACUUGACCGCUAGUAAGCGAAGAGAUAGCCCAACGUUCUGUACGCUCCUGAUUUCUACGUGUUCCACCUGUCUGGUCAGCAUAUCAGAAUCUUCUCUCGACUCAGAGAACCAAGUGUGCAUUACAAGGCGAUGUACAACCUCUCCUGGAUUUCAGACCCUCGAUGUCAGUUGUCGUUGUUGUGAUCUCAUUUGGAUCCUUGCUGCGCACACGAGGUGCCUACACAACACGCUACCAUAUUAUUAUGCAGCCCAGACCUUGUGGGUUUGCAGAAUAGCAAA
Molecule: long non-coding RNA, 569 nt
Filed under: Felis catus (domestic cat)
Lineage: Eukaryota; Metazoa; Chordata; Mammalia; Carnivora; Felidae
Description: lncRNA (ENSFCAG00000049763.1)
Source: RNAcentral